UAUGGUGGCAAUAGCGAAGAGGUCACACCCGUUCCCAUACCGAACACGGAAGUUAAGCUCUUCAGCGCCGAUGGUAGUUGGGGGCUUCCCCCUGUGAGAGUAGGACGUCGCCAUGC
Molecule: ribosomal RNA, 116 nt
Filed under: Bacillus coahuilensis
Lineage: Bacteria; Bacillati; Bacillota; Bacilli; Caryophanales; Bacillaceae
Also listed under: 2 other names
Source: RNAcentral